Molecule: long non-coding RNA, 2449 nt
Organism: Amphiprion ocellaris (clown anemonefish)
Lineage: Eukaryota; Metazoa; Chordata; Actinopteri; Pomacentridae
Source: Ensembl
CAGGAAACUCUCCUGAACUGGUUCAGCUGCAGAGAUGGUGUUUAAUGAGGCGACGGUGGAGACGAGAGCAGAUCCUCAGACUCUCAGAGAACCUUAACAAUCAUCAGAAGGAGAUCGGGAGAUGAUGGGAGCGUCGGUUCUUUGGAUGCUGACGUUCUGCUUCGGUGUCGGAGGAGUCGCUUCAUGCUCAGAUGAACCGGCCAUCUCCGUGUCUGAACCCAGUAAAGUAUUGAUCUCCUGCCCAUCGUUCAGCUUCAGCAGCUCAGAGAUCAGCUACCUGCUGCUCUUCAACGGCAGCAGCAUCUUUCAGAUAUAUCUGAGCAAGAAGCACGAUUCUGCAGAGAUUUUAUUCUCCACUCAGAUUGAAAUCACAGCUGAUAACAGUGGAGAGUUUAUCUGCAGGCAGGAAAAGACUUACCCUCCUCCAUUCAGACAGGACUGUUUGAGAACUGCAGUCAACGUUUCAGCAGAGCAGUCUAUGACGAGAGUCAACGCCACAGCUCCAUCAGCCAAUCAGAGCUGUCCGGACCGGUCUCCGUUAAUCCCAGAGGUGGUGAUGUGGACCGGAGGUGGAGUUCUAUUGGUCUAUAGCUUCACCAUCACCUGCAUUACUGUUGUUAUCUGGCGGCAGAAUCAGAAGCUGAAGAGAGACGAAGACACAAAGAUCUACAGCAACAUCAGACCUAAAGGAAUCAAGAAGCCUAAUAAAGCUUAACAGCAACUAGUGGAGAAAAUCCACCGCAAUGAAAGCUACGAAUGAUUAGUGGAAGACGACACUGAAUGUACAGAAGAAGGGUUUCUUUUAAACUGAAACAUGCAAAACCUACAUGAGAUAAAUCCUGCAAUAGAAAUAUGGCUUCUGCAGCAAUUAAUACAUUGAAAUCCAAAGUUCAGGAGUGGAAAAAACUGCCACAAUCCCUCAGAUACACAAGAAACCCAAAGAUACACAGAAACUGUAUCGACAGAUUCACUGGAAGCGUGAUUUAAAAGACGAGGAGUGCAAUAAAAAUCCACAAAAAUGCCAAAUAAUUUCCAAUAAAACAAACUAUUCAUACAAAACAUUACUGUUAUCUGAUCAACAUUUACAUUUUAAAACCAACUGAACGUAUUUCUUGGGAUUGUUUUCUGAAGUGGAGUUUUGAACCAACAAAUAACUUAGAGUUUAACUUUAAACCUCAGAUUAUUCACAGCUGUGCCAAUUUUUGAUGUAAAGUGAAUUUUUGUUUGAUUAAUGGAUUCUACUGGCAGGAAAUGACAAACAAAGACGUUAAGGCUUUGCGUUAGACAUGAUUAUAAUUUUGAUAAAAUACCACAUCCAGAGUAAUUCAUCUUCUUUCUCAGUAAUUGAUAUCAAAUCCUUCAUCUUCCAGCCCAUCAAUCAAACAGCUCUUAUAAUAAUAACAGUCGUUCUGCAGGUCUUCACUGGGAUCUAGUUCCUCUUUGGGAUGAUCUCCAGCUCUUUGAGGUCUCUUGGUUUUCAGCUCCUCCACUGUUUGUCUUCACCUUUUCUUCACCACUUUGGCUUCAAAACUUUGUUGUGUUAGAAGUUUUUCUGCAGACUUUUCUCCACGAUCUAAACAUCAUCCUCUUUUCUCAUGAUGUUGUUUACUUUGAUGAAACUUCCUGGUCCUUCUUCUGAGACCUGUUUGACACUGAAGAUACUGAUCACGAGGUUCAAAGCUUGUACUUUCCUCGUGUCCAAACAUUUUCCUCUCAUUCGUCCACAGAAGUGAUGAGCAGCAGUGUCCUUCUUUGUCUGGCUGAGCUACUGAGAGUCUUCUUUGGUCUUCAGUGGAGACCAGCCCUGUUCAGUGUCUGACGGAGAUGUUUCUACCCGAACUUUUCACAUUCAUCAGGAUGUUCUUUGUGCUGAUCCUUGGAUUCUAGCAGAUGUUUCACACUGUGGAACUCUUCUGCUCCUUGACGAUGCUUUGCUCUCUGGACAGUGGACCUUGCAAACACUUAGAUGUGACCUUCUAGCCUUGAAAAGUCUCUCAGUGAUGAACUCUAUCAGCAGCUCUGAGCUCUUUGGUUUUAGCCACGACUGGUAACUGACUGUUACCAUCUGUUCUCACUUUAAUGUACUGUGUUGGUAAAUUAACAAGCAACAGAUACUUUAUUCAUCCCUUUGUGCAAUUUAAGGUCUCCAGUGGCUCACACACAUUACAUUUAAUAAAAACAAGAAACCUAAUAUGUAAAAACAUGAAAAGACACAUGCAAAUCUUGCUGAUAGAGGAAAUAAGAUGCAUGAUUGUGCUGAUGUUUACAAUAAAGAAGAUUCUUUAUUGUAAUGUAGAAAAUGUAGAAAUAGUUCAAAUCUAUCUCCUCUAACACAACAUUUUACUGUCUUCUGUCAUUUGUUUUUCCUUUCCAGUCAGAAGAAACCUUCUGGUCAAAUGAAAAUUCAAAUCAAAAUCAAAAUUUAGCAUGGAUAUAAAUAAUUUGAGGC